RNAcentral lists this ribosomal RNA (254 nucleotides) under uncultured bacterium. RNAcentral's name for it is "partial 16S ribosomal RNA". It matches the Rfam family "Bacterial small subunit ribosomal RNA", at positions 524 to 776 of the family's 1533-position model. The record is from RNAcentral.
UACGUAGGGGGCAAGCGUUGUCCGGAAUCAUUGGGCGUAAAGCGCGCGUAGGCGGCCCGGUAAGUCCGCUGUAAAAGUCCAGGGCUCAACCCUGGAAAGCCGGUGGAUACUGUCGGGCUAGAGUCCGGAAGAGGCGAGUGGAAUUCCUGGUGUAGCGGUGGAAUGCGCAGAUAUCAGGAAGAACACCCGUGGCGAAAGCGGCUCUCUGGAACGGUACUGACGCUGAGACGCGAAAGCGUGGGGAGCGAAACAGG